Molecule: ribosomal RNA, 668 nt
Filed under: uncultured bacterium
Lineage: Bacteria
Description: bacterial SSU rRNA
Rfam family: Bacterial small subunit ribosomal RNA
Source: RNAcentral
GUCGAGCGGGCGUAGCAAUACGUCAGCGGCAGACGGGUGAGUAACGCGUGGGAACAUACCUUUUGGUUCGGAACAACACAGGGAAACUUGUGCUAAUACCGGAUAAGCCCUUACGGGGAAAGAUUUAUCGCCGAAAGAUUGGCCCGCGUCUGAUUAGCUAGUUGGUGAGGUAACGGCUCACCAAGGCGACGAUCAGUAGCUGGUCUGAGAGGAUGAUCAGCCACAUUGGGACUGAGACACGGCCCAAACUCCUACGGGAGGCAGCAGUGGGGAAUAUUGGACAAUGGGCGAAAGCCUGAUCCAGCCAUGCCGCGUGAGUGAUGAAGGCCCUAGGGUUGUAAAGCUCUUUUGUGCGGGAAGAUAAUGACGGUACCGCAAGAAUAAGCCCCGGCUAACUUCGUGCCAGCAGCCGCGGUAAUACGAAGGGGGCUAGCGUUGCUCGGAAUCACUGGGCGUAAAGGGUGCGUAGGCGGGUUUUUAAGUCAGAGGUGAAAUCCUGGAGCUCAACUCCAGAACUGCCUUUGAUACUGAGAAUCUUGAGUACGGGAGAGGUGAGUGGAACUGCGAGUGUAGAGGUGAAAUUCGUAGAUAUUCGCAAGAACACCAGUGGCGAAGGCGGCUCACUGGCCCGUAACUGACGCUGAGGCACGAAAGCGUGGGGAGCAAAC